CAAAACUAAGCAAAUUAUUUUAUUGACAUAAUAAUUUUUUUCGUUCCAGUUUCUUCGUUUGAUUGAUUUUCCAGAUAUAUUUAAUACAUAUUUAUUCUAAGCAAUUUGUAUUUUUAUAUUAUUGCAAACAUUGAUGAAGAAAGAUAUAAUAAAUUGUCUCUAUAGAUUAAGCAUGAAAAAGAAGAGAAAAUAAAAAUUAACGAUCUCUCUACAUAAAAG
This 219-nucleotide long non-coding RNA is filed under the name Lathyrus oleraceus (garden pea). Its description in RNAcentral is "Pisum sativum (pea) long non-coding RNA (PSAT_LNC030651)". Lineage: Eukaryota; Viridiplantae; Streptophyta; Magnoliopsida; Fabales; Fabaceae. The record is from RNAcentral.